AGUGGGGCAAUGGGGAUUGGGAGGGAGAGAUCGGAGAAGUGGCUGUCUGGAGUGUUAACACGAGUCCAUCGUGUCCUCGGGAGAAGGAGAGGCUGCGUUGUCAAACGAGCCCUGACGAGAGGCAGAGGCGCCAUCACAGCGCUCUGAGAUGCUGCCGUGAAAUCUGGAUCCCGGCUGACUCAGGGAUCUGAAGGACAGUACUUUAUAAAAUCUCCCGGGCAGGUGUCCGAGGUUAAGUCAGGCUCUUCGAUAAUCGCCAAACAAUCAUAGGGAAAAAAAUCUACCCUGGGGCAGGAGAUAGGAUGGGGGAGGAGGGUGCGCAGUGGGAGAGACAGGACGACACGGACUAAAACCUGCUAAAAAGGCAAACAUUUCAUUUCUUGGGUGACUUCGUGCAGAUCUGGGGCUUAUUCCUCGAACUUGGCGUGACGAACCUGUAACUUCUUUCAAUGUUUUUGACCGUGCACUGUAUUGCCAUAAUGCCAAUAAACGCUUUAAACGCGUCUUACUAGCGACCAUCCAGCCAUUCAGGCCCUGCCUUAACGAGUUCUGACCUGGCCCUGGACAGCUGGGUCACUCCCUAGCUUCAGGUGCUCUUGGUACUGUGGGAAAAUGUGACUGGAUGGGCCGGGUCUGUUGCACCGACUUCUGGGUUUUCUUUCGUCUUGGCUUGCAAGUGGUCGCAGAGGCAAAGGCUCGCUUUUCAUGUCAGCGGGUUCAGGAUUUCAGGACUUUGAGUUAAGCGACCAAAGAAAACCCUGCCUGAUUUUUCCCUACUUAGUGUCUGCCUAAGAGGACAAGGACUACCAGCUCUCCCAGGGACGAAUUUCCUGGUGUGUAGUAUAGCCCAUAUCCCUCACCCUUUCAGCAAAUGCCAGCAGAUGGAUGCAGUUAAACCUCGGCGGUGCUCCAUGACCAGACACCCAUCCAGGGUGCAAAAGGGUUGGCCAUUAUGCGGUGCCUAUGGACUGGUGUUUAUCCCCGACAGCUGUAACAGGGAGAAGGAAUGGAACAGGAGUGCUCACAACUUCCCCGUCCCACGGCACGCGGGGGAGCACGGCAGGACCCCCACGGCUCAGGGGAGAAAAAGCCAGGAAAAAAAAAAAAAAAAAGAGAGAGAGAAAACUCUACACACAUCUUGGGAGCAAUCAAAUAUCUAUGCAAUGUUAUUAAAAAUUAUAAAAUCCCAGGAAAACAACGGCUCUCUUUUAUAAAGGAAAUCUGAGGAGCGCAGCGAGCUAAGUGAAAGCUCUGUUUUCAAGCGAAGGCAGGAUUAGUUCCCUGCACAUAAUAGCCUGUGUGUAGGAAUUGCAAAUGAACAUCACCAGCAGUUCUGGAGUUACUCUUCUUAAAUUAAUAUUGAGUUGGGUUCUCUGCACAAUGUGCAAAAUAUCAGACAUUUCUGAGCUUUCGAGGGGAACGAGGAUUGAAAUUAACCUGUACAUAUAUUUUCCCCUAGUUUAAUACGAGAAACUCUUAUCCUGGUGUAGCCAGUAAGCAGUGGAGGAAUUUGGGGUAACGCCCCCAGGACCUGUUUUGCGGGUUAAAAAAUACAUCAACAAAUCAGCACCAAAAUCCCGAAACGGGCCCGACACCCGCACAGACGGGGUAAGCACGAUUCCGGCUCAGCGGCGGGGGGCUCCGCUGCCUGAGACGGCCCCUCCACGGGGAGGCUCCGCGCCGGCAGCGCGGACGGGCCCCCGGCGCAGCGUUCGCCCUCCGCGGUGCUCACUCCCGCUGAGCGGAGCCUCCGCGGCCGCACGACGCGGACCGCGCUGGCCCAGUGUGCCAUCGCGAACCCAUAUACACCGGCUGAACGGAUUCUUCCAUCCCGCCAUCAGGGAAGGGGAAGUGUGUUUGUACUGCAUUUUCAAGAUUCACCAAUGGAAAGCCCAGAGUUGUUGUUUUGGAGGCUGUGCCAACAGUCUGAGUGGUGCAGAAAUGGCAAAAAAAGGUAGAGAAAGCAAGAAAAGUGGUUGGUUCCUGAUUCAACAGAACAGCAGCAUCAACAACCGCAACAUUAGGCAAUAUCGAGAAAAAAAAGAAGGAAGAGAAAAGAAAGCCUAACAGAAGUGAAGGCAAAGCUGAAGUUUCUGAGGUCUUAGUCUACUGACAAUCAAAAAGAUGAGAUGUAGACAUAAGUGCAAUCUUGUGCUGCUGGAAUUGAUGACAUGAGCCGGCUGCUUCAAAAGAAGAGAUUCUUUUAAAGCACAACUUCUGGAGAUCCUUGUCUUCAGCCCACUUCAGUAAAAUUCAGUGCCUCUGCCUGUACUCAGUUGCAUAUUUGGCCCUGCAGACCUAUUUGUGAGAAUAAAUCUGCAAGGGUACACUUGCUCACAUAGUAAGCAUGACUUUGAAAGAAGAAGAAACCUUGUCUCGUGUGGAUAAAGCAGCUGCGUGUACUUGAAUUCUCUGAAAGAGAAUUUUACUUUCUCCCGUCACAUUUAGACGCAGGUCUGUAGGUUUACCCCUAUGCAAGAAAUUUUAAGAAAUGUUCCAUUAGGUAAAACAUCUGGGGAUAAAUAAGUAAUAAGUAAUAACUUGUCAGGAAUUACCUGUUUGCUUCUUAAUUGGGGUCAUCACUUCAACUAUUUACUCUGGUGAGCCCUAAGUUCUGUUCUUCACUGUACAGACUUAUUAAAUAUCUAACAUUCAUGGUAUUUGGAAAAGAGGAACUGCAAUAUUAAUUGAAAUAUUCACUUUGGAUAACCAUUUGAACUAUUCUUCAAGAUACUAUGUGUUUUGAAAGUUAA
This is a long non-coding RNA of Myiozetetes cayanensis, 2753 nucleotides long. RefSeq lists it as uncharacterized. NCBI's taxonomy places the organism in Eukaryota, Metazoa, Chordata, Aves, Passeriformes, Tyrannidae. The transcript has 4 exons. The record is from RefSeq and is a predicted model, not a curated record.